AAAAAAAAAAAAAAUCUAAUUAUUGGAAGGAGGAACUCGAACUUAAAUAAUUUACAAAUAAUAGGUUUGUCCGCCUCCCUUCUGUCCGUGUAGUUUAGAUUAAAAAUAAAAUAAUUAAUUAUUGAAUAAAAGAAAGUGAGAAUAAAAAUGUGAUAACUAUUAGGUUAUGUUAGAGCCCAUGUGUAUAAAAUAGUAAUAGUUUUAUUCGAAUUACAAUGUAAGCAUACAUAAAAUUUCAAGUUAAUUUAAUUUCUAAAUCCACUUAGGGCUCGUUUGGUACACAGGACUGUCUUGGCAUGGACUGUGUUUAGGGACUGGUUUGGCUUGGCUUGGCUUGGUCUAAGUUGGAUAACACUUAUCCUGCGUUUGGUGUAUGCUUGGACUAUGACUAGAAUUUUUUUUAUUUUUUCAAAAAUAUCUAUAUAUAUAUGUAUAUAUGUAUUUUAUAAUAUAUAUAAUAUGUAUGUAUAUAUACAUACAUAUAAUAUAUAUAUGUAUAUAUACAUGUAUAUAAGUAUAUUAUAAUAAUAUUAUAUAUUUUAAAUAAUAUAAACGUACAUACAUAUAUAUAUAUAUAAGUGUAUAUAGGUGUAUAUAUGUAUAUUAUAAUAUACAUGGGUAUAAUACAUAUACAUAUAUUUAUAUAUAUGUAUGUACAGUCCCCUUAUAUUGAGGGAUCCCUCAAAUAAUUUUAUUUGAGGGACGCCCUUUAGAGUACCCUACAAUUCUUUUCCCAAUAAUCCAAACCAUCUAUUUUUUAGGUAUUCAUUCAUAGAUCAUCCUUACAAAAAAUUAGACAAAUCGGAAACCGUUUCGACAUCCAAUUGUGUCUUACAAAAUCAAUGAACACGGUGCUUUAAGAAAAGUACUAAAAUUUCAAUAACUCAAUUGAGUGGUCACAUGAUAUCGGAUUCAAGUGAUUUUUUGUAGAGAUGAUCUUUGAAUGAGUAUCUACAAAAUAGACGGUUUGGAUUAGUGAAAUACAAUCCGGAGUGGGGCCUACAAGAGGUGUCCCUCAAAUAAGCUUAUUUGAGGGAUCCCUCAAUGGAAGCUCUCUGUAUGUAUGUAUAAUAUAAUAUAUAUAAUAUAUAUGGGUAUGUUAUAAUAAUAAUAAUAAUAUACAUGUAUAUACGUGUAUAUAUGUAUAUUAUAUAUGUAUUUAUAUAUACAUAUACAUUAUAUAUAUUAUAAAAUACAUAUGUAUAUAUAUUAUAUAUUAUAAUAUACAUAUAUAUACGUAUAUACAUGUAUAUAAUAUAUGUGUAUAUAGGUGUAUCUAUAUAUUAUAAUAUAUACAUAUAUAGGUGUAUCUAUAUAUUAUAAUAUAUACAUGGGUAUAAUACAUAUACAUAUAUAUGUAUAUUAUAAUAGAUAAUAUAUAUGGGUAUGUUAUAAUAAUAAUAUACAUGUAUAUAUGUAUAUUAUAAUAUAUAUACAUAUAGUAUAAAUAUAUAAUGUAUAUGUGUAUAUACGUGUGUAUAUGUAUAGUAUAAAUAUAUAAUGUAUAUGUGUAUAUACGUGUGUAUAUGUAUAUAUACUUAUAUAUAUAUAUUACAUAUAUACAUGUAUGCUAUUAUUAUAAUAUUAAUAUGUAUGUGUAUAUGAGUAUAUUAUAAUAAUAAUAAUAUACGUGUAUAUAUCUAUAUGUAUUUAUAUAUUAUAUAUGUAUAUAUGUGUUUAUAUAUAUAUAUGUAUAUACGUGUAUAUAUGUACAUUAAUAUAUAAUAUAAUAUAUAUUACAUAUAUACAUGUAUACAUGUAUGUAUUAUUAUAAUAUUAAUAUGUAUGUGUAUAUGAGUAUAUUAUAAUAAUAAUAUAUGUGUAUAUAUCUAUAUGUAUUUAUAUAUAUAUAUAUUAUAUAUGUAUAUAUGUAUUUAUAUAUAUAUACAUGUAUAUGUGUAUAUACAUGUAUAUAUGUACAUUAUAGUAUAUGUGUAUGUAAUAAUAAUAAUAAUAAUAAUAAUAAUAAUAAUAAUAAUAAUAAUAAUAUAUGUUAUUAGUAUUACAAUAUAAUAUAUGCAUCUUAUAUAUUGGUGAACAUAGGACUAGCUAAUCCUCCCUUUCUACAUGGGUUUAGUAGUCCCCUCCUAGUGAGGUAUUUUUGGUGGGCCCGGUAUUAGCAAUCCCAUCUAAGACUAGAAUUAAAUGAAACAAACAUGGUACUAAAUUUAGUCCAAUCCAGUCCAAGCCAAGCCUGUGUACCAAACGACCCCUUAGAUGAUUGCUAUGGACUAGAAAAAUGUGGUUGUUAAGUAGACUUGGAAG
Molecule: long non-coding RNA, 2265 nt
Filed under: Prunus persica (peach)
Lineage: Eukaryota; Viridiplantae; Streptophyta; Magnoliopsida; Rosales; Rosaceae
Description: long non-coding RNA (PPER_LNC005446)
Source: RNAcentral